This 4620-nucleotide long non-coding RNA is filed under the name Marmota monax (woodchuck). Lineage: Eukaryota; Metazoa; Chordata; Mammalia; Rodentia; Sciuridae. The record is from RNAcentral.
AGAGAGAGAGAGGGAGAGAGAGAGAGAGAGAGAGAGAGAGAGAGAUUGAGAGAGAUUGUUAAGAAGAUUUAAAUUAACAUAUUUUCAAAUAUUACUGCAAGGUCACCUAGAGGGAAACAUCUUUAACAAAUGGAAAUUUGUUUUACAAAGAGAAUUGAAGAUUGAACUCUGGUUAUUCUAUCAGUGAGCAACAUCUCCAGUACUUCUUUAAAUUUUUAUUUUGAGAUAGGUUCUCACUAAUUUGCUAAGGCUGGUUUACAAACAUGAUAUCUUCCUGUGUCAGCCUCCUAAAUCUAUGGGAUUAUAAGCAUGCACCACUACUGUUCUUGAGUACAAAAAAAUUUUAAAUGAACAACUAAAAUAUAAGAAAAUCAGACUUUGGAAACCUCUCUAGCUAAUAAGACCUUUUAAUCUGAAAUAUUUUCUAAUCCGAAGUGGCACCUUAGUGAAUAUGGCAAAGAAGAUUUUCUGUGUCCGCCUGACUUGAUAAAUUACUUGGGAAAGUUUCCUUGAGCAUUUUAAAGUUUCCCCUUCCUGUUAUAAUUGGCCACAAGUUUCAGUCAUUUUAGAAAGUGGUUUGUAGAGGAUUAGGGAUGUAGCUUAAUGGUAGAGUGCUUGCCUAGCGUGCCAAGGAGGGCCUUAGGUUCAAUCACACACACACACACACACACACACACACACAGUACUUACUUUAGGUUUUAAAACAUUUCCCUUUGUCUCAAAUUUUAGACAUGCUCUGUCAGAAGUUUUUUUUUUUUUAACCCUUUGUUUUAUUGCCCAAGAGCUCUAGUUUAGUGCACAAGAAAACCAAUUUAGAGAUAUCAAGUUUACCUCAUUAAGAGAAACAUAAAGCCAAAAUCCUUAGUUGAAUUUCUCUGUUUUCCUAAGUAUUUGCAAGUUGAGGCACCAUAAUUACCAAAUACCAACCUUGUUGAAAUACCAAAUGUCAGUUUCUUCCCCAAACAGCUUCCUUCAUUGAUUUCUGUUUUCUAUUUUAGCAGAGACUCCCAGUCUCCCCCGAAAUGUUGACUUCUACCCUGAUAGAACUUGUGUUUUCGAUUGGUUUUCUAUGCUGCUUCUGGAAGUAGCUUCUUCGGCUUUUGCUCUGAGGCCAGUUUCCCCACCAGUGUUUUAGGUUUAUCCUGCACAUUUACAAAACAAACAAAGACACUGGGUGAUCACUUCCUAUGUCUUCCCAGAUGAGCCAAUAAAGUUUUUUUCUGAUUCAGCUGAAGGGUCUUUUGAUCAAUUUGGCUAGAAAUCAUAAAUAUGCAAAGUGUAGCUCCCUCUGUGUUAGCAACUCUGAGGUGUGAAUGCCACUGGCUUUCAGCUCUUAGCUUUAGGCUCUCCUCAGUGUUUUUCUCCUGACAGCCAAAGCCAGCAGCCAUCGGUGACUCUGAAACUCUUCUACCCCAGAGCCAGUAGCUACCUAGAGCUCUCUGAACUGUUCCAGCAGCCAGUGCUGGAAAUCUUUCUUACUCCCUGCUAUUCUUGAACUGCUAGUUGCCUUCAGUGUUACCAGCACUGGCUGCUGGCUGCUUUUAUUGCCAGCAGCCUCAGUGUUACCAGCUCUUAGUGCAACCAGCUCAGCCUGCAGUACUUGAGAUAAAAAUUAUGAAUAGGGAAGAUAAAACUUCAUUUUAAAGAGGCUUUAUUAGGACCUAUGCUGCAGCAUAAGAAAGGCUAAUACAGGAAGCAUUCUGAUAAGGGGAAGGGGAAAGCUGUUUAUAUAGAUCAAAAGGAGGGCUGGUGUGUGCAGGCACAGUGUCCUAGCAACUAACCACAGGCUUUCUGCUUGGACAUGCAUGGGGGAGGGGCUCCUUGUGGACUGAAUUAGGAACAGCUAAAGAGAUGGCAAAGGAAUAGAGUCAUCCAGGUGACUGAGGAUGGUGUCAUCUGGGCUGGAGCCACUACAGAAGUUAUCAGAGCCAAAACAAAAUGUUUCCAACAGGCCACAGUGCAUCUUCUUUAGCACAGCCUAGGUGUGAAGAGUUUGGGGGCAGCCAUAUCCAGAAGUUUUUAAUGUUGGGGAUUGAACCAAGGAGCACUAUUGCCACUGAAUUACCUCUCCAUUCAUUUUUUUUUUUUUUUUGUAUUUUUUAUCUUGAGGCAAGACUUUGCUAAGUUGCUAAGAGUCUCAAUAAAUUUUUGAGGCUGGCCUCAAAUUUGCAAUCAUUCUGCCUCAGUCUCUUGAAUUACUGGGAUUAAAGUGAGCACCAUCAUGCCCAUCGAGUUACUGAUGUGUGUAUAUAUGUGGAUAAAAAUUAUUUCUUGGAGAAUAUAAGGCCCAUCUCUACUCAGUCUAAGAAAGAGUUAUGCUGUUCUUGAAAUUUUCAUAUGAGGCUCUUGCACAUUAUAGGGCUUCCUUACACUUCUACCUUUUGGGGAUUGACAGGAAUGAAUGCCUUUUCUCUUUGGUAUGUUUAAAAGAGGUAGUCACUGAAAUUUUAUACUAAUAGGGAAAGGUUGCAUGAAUGGGAAAAAGAAACAAAAAAAGCAAAAAGGCAACUAUUAUGGUUUAGAUGUUAGGUAGUCCCCCAAAAGCUCAUGUGUGAGGCAAUUCAAGAAGGUUUAGAGGAUAAAUGCUUGGGUUGUGAGAGUCUUAAAAACAAUCAUUGACUUAAUCCCCCAACUAAGUGGUAACUGAAGGCAAGUAGUGUGUGGCUGGAGGAAAUGAGGGCAUGUCUUUGUGGGUAUAUAUUUGGUGAGCUGAGCUUAGGCUCCUCUGUUCCCUGGUGUGAUUCUUGAGCUGCUUCCUUCCACCACACUCUUCUGCCAUGAUGUUCAACCUCACCUUGAGUCCCAAGAAAUGAAGCCUGCUAUCUAUGGACUGAGACCUCUAUAACCGUGAGCCCCCAAAUAAACUUUUCUUCCUUAAAAUUGUUCUUAUCAGUUCUUUCAGUCACAGCAGCAAAACAGUUGACUAAAACAGCAACUUUAAAUAAUGGAGGAGUAUUGGAAGAGAAGAGACUAAAUGCUAGCAAAGUGGUUCUGCCAAAUGUUCUGAAAGGACAGCCAAAUUAACUAGUUUGGGACAAACUGCAUACUCUUAACCAAACAAAGGGGAGUCUUGGCCCCAGGAAGGGUUCACCAGCAUUCACCCAAGGACAUGAUCUGGUAGGAGGGCCCAGGGUACCCUAUUCUAUUACAUGGUGCAAAUCUGAUUGCCUUCUCAGAUUUGCACCACCAAAAAGUGGAUUUUUCUGGGUUUCCACAUGGGUUCCAAAAGUGUCAAUGCAAAAUGACUCUUCUUAAAAGGAAAUAUGUUAAUUCUGCAUGAAAUAUGAAUGGCCCUGUCCCAGGAGCAAAGAUUUAAAUUACCCUAAAUUACAUUUCACCAGGGAAGCGAAUACACAAUUGUUAUGGUCAUAGAGCAAAAUAAAGUCAUAAAUCACUACAUUCACCAAUUAUGCCAUUGGGGGCAUCAGGUGGGCAGGCUACAGCAACAUAUAUAUUAGUCAUGCAAAUGUGAGGUCAGAUAUAAAAGUUAAGGUAAUUGGCCGAAGAUAACCCAAUAUAAUUUUGACUCUCGAUUUAGAGCAUUCCAUGUCUUCAUAAUCACAAUGUUCUAGGCAACCAAGCUCAAGCAGUCUGCAGCAUCUUUAACAUAGAUGCAGCUUCCUCAGAGAAUUUCAAUUCAAAAAAGUAACAUCAAACUUCAUAUUCUACUCUGUAGUCUCAAAUGUGAAAUAGAAUAUGAUGCAGUAGAAAAAUUACAAAUCAAUUUAGGACAUGGAUUGGACUCUGAUGCCUUCCAAGUAUGAGAAAAUGAACAAUCCUCUAACUUCUGAGAACAUUUUUUCCUCUUCUGUAAAACUGAGUUUUCAAUUGCUACAGUUCUCUCAAUUUAGUAGCUGUCAAUCUAACAUAGCAUAGAGUGUUUUCCUUUCAUCCUCCCCCCUGUACCCGCCCAUCUUUCUUUUGGGGCAGAUGCAUGACUCUUAGGUUCUUAAGCCCUGUGUUUUUCUUUUUCAACAAGUGCACACUAAACCGUUAGUCUUCCCUUAGUAACUUACAGAAUGAAAGAGUGACUGGUUUUAUGCAAAUUGAUGCUGUCUUUAUUACAAUGCAAAAUAGCAAAUAUUUCUAUUAGCAAGCAGUUUGCCCACAUGACAUAAAUGUUUCUAACUGUAGAAAACACAUGGCUUGGGGAUCAUGAAUAUUUAAUGGGUUUGAAUUUUAAAGACACUAAGAUAAAAAUAGCCCUUGGAACUCUCAAGUAACGUUGAUUAUACAUUAAAUUUUGCCAUGCAUCAUAAAGAUAAUAUGUCUCUGUGAAUUCCAUUUCUAGUUCUCAUUAUCUGCAUCCUACAUCAUUAACUUUUAAUGAAAGUGGCUUUUAUUUGCUGUCCCAACAUUGGAAAUGUUCAUUUUUCUUCUUCAAAUGCCUAACAAUUUUUGAACAAAGAUUUUUCUUUUGGUAUGCAGUUCAUAUUUACAGCUGUUUUUUAUGCUUUUGAGUUUGUUAUUGCUGAAAUUAGAAGGAUAUAAAGUUGUCAGUAUAAAAAAAAAAUUUGCCAGUGUCUCAUCAUAUCAUACCUUUACCAUAAGAGCAAGAAAUUUUAGGAAAAAAUACCCUGAUAUAGAUUUCCUGGUGCCCCAAGAAAGCAUUAAAACAAU